This 400-nucleotide ribosomal RNA is filed under the name uncultured bacterium. Its description in RNAcentral is "bacterial SSU rRNA". It matches the Rfam family "Bacterial small subunit ribosomal RNA", at positions 29 to 422 of the family's 1533-position model. The record is from RNAcentral.
AGUGAACGCUGGCGGCGUGCUUAACACAUGCAAGUCGAGCGAAUUUCAGCAGCGUAUCGCUGAAGUUAGCGGCAGACGGGUGAGUAAUACUUGGGCAAUCUGCCCUUGAGAGGGAAACAACCUGCCGAAAGGCGGGCUAAUGUCCCAUAAGACCACAGGAUGGCAUCAUCCAGAGGUCAAAGCUCCGCAAGGGGCGCUUGAGGAGGAGCCCGAGUCCUAUCAGCUAGUUGGUGAGGUAAUGGCUCACCAAGGCUUUGACGGGUAGCCGGCCUGAAAGGGUGACCGGCCACACUGGCACUGAGACACGGGCCAGACUCCUACGGGAGGCAGCAGUGGGGAAUUUUGGACAAUGGGGCAACCCUGAUCCAGCGACGCCGCGUGGAGGACGAAGGUCUUCGGA